AACUAACAAAAUGUAGGAAGUUUAGUGAAAAAUAUUUUGUUAGUUUACUACUUUU
This is a non-coding RNA of Caenorhabditis elegans, 55 nucleotides long. The record is from Ensembl. NCBI's taxonomy places the organism in Eukaryota, Metazoa, Nematoda, Chromadorea, Rhabditida, Rhabditidae.